UACGUGGCUGAAUUAUGAGAAAAUCACAUUAACUUCUUCUGAAAUUGGCAACUUAGAGAUGAGGAGUUUUGACAUGGAAGUAUGAAGAAAAGGUAGAUUUAAAAGAAAAAAUACUGAAGAGGAAUGCAGGAUGAAAAUGAAGAGUUUGAGACUCAAGAAUGGUGGGAAAUGAGAAGAAAGGGCUAUCAGGAUCUGUAGACAUCAAAUCAAAUCAAGUUUACAAAUGUUUGAUUCAUCAAAGUCCAGUAGCAAGACAAGAGUCAAGUUGCCUGGCGAUACCCUAGGAUGCAGUGGAUGACCUUAACAUCUUUGAUGUCUGAUCAAGCUCUAUGUGCUCCAUAGUACCUGCUUCAGCUGCCUCCAUGGCUGUUGGAAGAAGUCGUUCUUAUAUGUGCAUCCUACUUUGGAAGUCUUCACAUGAUUGAAGUAAACACUCUCCUAUCACUGACAAGUUUGACCCUCAUCUGACAAGAUGGUUUUCCUGGGGUAUGGCUGUUGUACAUGCCACAGCUUCUUGGAGACACAGAUAAGAGUUUGGUGACAGGUGGACAUUGAAACUGGAUGAGCAACCCUAAAGAGGGCUCAGCAUGCCCUCCCACCAAAGGUGUUAGUCCUCCCUAAACAUUGCACUAGAGGCACAAAGGCAAAAGUGAAAUAGCCCCUUUUCAAGGAGCUCAGAUUCUAUUUGGAGAAGUUGUAAGUUUUUUGACCAUAGGGAAUAGGUACAUAAAUAGUUCAUAUUUCUAUAUCACUUUAAGGUUUACAAAAUGCUUUUCCAAGCCAAGUGCAUUUUGGUAGUCCCUAUUGCUAGGGAGGCUAAGGCUUGGAAUCAGGUGUUCUGAGCAUCAAUAGGACUGAAGCACUUAUUGGGUUUCUGUACCAUUUGGCAUCAGUAUGAUGGGUGCCUAGGAAUGUAGAGUUACAAGGUUGUGUAAGGAGAAGAAAACUGGACAGUUUGGGGAGGGGAUGGAUUAAACUUCUGUGCCAAUUAGUAUUGAGAACUUGUGAGUACCAAUCUUUCUUCCAGCCUGGAUAAGAUAAGGGGACCCAGUCUCAAAAAAAAAAAAAAAGCUUUCUUAGUGCUAAAUUCAGUGCCUGACACAUACUAGUUGCCCAAUCAAUGAUUGUAGAUUUGACUUUUCUAACGAC
Molecule: long non-coding RNA, 1149 nt
Filed under: Monodelphis domestica (gray short-tailed opossum)
Lineage: Eukaryota; Metazoa; Chordata; Mammalia; Didelphimorphia; Didelphidae
Description: lncRNA (ENSMODG00000029990.2)
Source: RNAcentral